This 485-nucleotide ribosomal RNA is filed under the name Helotiales sp. YM419. RNAcentral's name for it is "eukaryotic LSU rRNA". The stretch from base 120 to 273 matches the Rfam family "5.8S ribosomal RNA". The record is from RNAcentral. Lineage: Eukaryota; Fungi; Ascomycota; Leotiomycetes; Helotiales.
AACCUCUGUUGCUUUGGCAGGCCGAACCGCUGGUCUACCGGCUCUGCUGGUAAGUGCCUGCCAGAGGACCCCCAAACCCUGAGAGUUAGUGUCGUCUGAGUAUCACAUAUAAUAGUUAAAACUUUCAACAACGGAUCUCUUGGUUCUGGCAUCGAUGAAGAACGCAGCGAAAUGCGAUAAGUAAUGUGAAUUGCAGAAUUCAGUGAAUCAUCGAAUCUUUGAACGCACAUUGCGCCCCUUGGCAUUCCGAGGGGCAUGCCUGUUCGAGCGUCAUUGCAACCCUCAAGCUCUGCUUGGUGUUGGGCGUCACCAGCCCUUGGUGUGCCUUAAAAUCAGUGGCAGUGCCACCUGGCCCUCAGCGUAGUAAUCUCCUCUCGCUAUAGGACCUGGUGGGUGCGUGCCAUCAACCCCUAUUUUUCUCAAAGGUUGACCUCGGAUCAGGUAGGGAUACCCGCUGAACUUAAGCAUAUCAAUAAGCGGAGGAA